This 446-nucleotide ribosomal RNA is filed under the name uncultured bacterium. RNAcentral describes it as "partial 16S ribosomal RNA". It matches the Rfam family "Bacterial small subunit ribosomal RNA", at positions 338 to 795 of the family's 1533-position model. The record is from RNAcentral.
CCUACGGGAGGCUGCAGUCGAGAAUCAUUCACAAUGGGGGAAACCCUGAUGGUGCGACGCCGCGUGGGGGAAUGAAGGUCUUCGGAUUGUAAACCCCUGUCAUGUGGGAGCAAAUGAAAAAGAUAGUACCACAAGAGGAAGAGACGGCUAACUCUGUGCCAGCAGCCGCGGUAAUACAGAGGUCUCAAGCGUUGUUCGGAAUCACUGGGCGUAAAGCGUGGGGAGGCUGUUUCGUAAGUCGGGUGUGAAAGGCGCGGGCUCAACCCGCGGACGGCACAUGAUACUGCGAGGCUAGAGUAAGGGAGGGGGAAGCGGAAUGCUCGGUGUAGCAGUGAAAUGCGUAGAUAUCGAGAGGAACACUCGUGGCGAAGGCGGGUUCCUGGACAUUAACUGACGCUGAGGCACGAAGGCCAGGGGAGCGAAAGGGAUUAGAUACCCGAGUAGUC